UAUUUUAAGUUUAUAUUUUUUUUUAGGUUAAAGGUGUGUUGUAUUUAUUUUUAUUAAAAGUAGUAUUUAGUUAUUUAUUAUUAAUAUGUUAUAGGAAUUUAUUUGUGUAUUGGAGAAUAUUUAUUAAAAAAUUAAUUUAUUUUUUUUUUGGUAAAAUGUAAAAUGUUUUUAUUUGAAAAUAAAAUUAUAAUAUUUUAAAAUAUUAAAUAAGGUUAAAAUUUAAAUUUUUUGGUACCCUUUUUGGUAUCCAGGGGUUUUAUUUAAAUAAAAAAAUUUUAAAAUAUUUUUAUUUAUUCCCUCCGAAAUUUAAUUUAGGAAGCCUAAAUUUUAAUUUAUUUUUAAAGGUUAAAAGUGGUUUUAAAUUAAUUUAAUUUUUAUAAAAAAGGAGAUAUUCUAGUCAAUUAUUAAGAUAUCUAGUUUUUUUAGAAAUAAAUUUAAUUUAUUUAUUAAAUUUUAAAUAUAUUUAAAUUUAAAUAUUAAUUUAAUUAAAAAUUUUAUGAGCUUAUUGGAUGAUAAAAUAUUGUUAAGUGAUAUAUUAUAUUUUAUAAUUUUAUUUAAUAGAAAAAAUUUAAGGGUUUAGCUUUAAAUUUUUUUUUAUAAAUUGUAUUAUAGUAGGAGUUUUAUUUGUAUUUAUAAAUUGUAGAUUUAGUAAUAGUUAUUGAUUUAAGUAUGUAAUAAUUUAUUUUAUUAAUUUAAUAAAAAUUUAUUUUAAUUGUUUUAAUUAUUUAUAAAAAUAAUAUGAAUUAAUAAUAUAUUUUAUAUAAUAAUGAUAAAAUUAUUAUAAUAGUUUAUUAAAGUGAAAAAAUUUUUUAUAUUAAAAUAUAUUUAUUAGAUUUAUAUUAUUUUAUUAAUAUAAUAAUAAGGAACUAGACAAAUUAAAAGUAUUUACCUGUUUAACAAAAACAUGUCUUUUUGAUUUUAUAAUUUAAAGUCUAAUCUGCCCUAUGAAUUUUAUUUAAAUGGCCGCGGUAUUUUGACCGUGCAAAGGUAGCAUAAUCAAUAGUUUUUUAAUUGAAAGCUUGUAUGAAGGAUUGUAUAAGAUAUUUAUUGUCUCAUUAUUAAUUAUUUUAAAAUUUAAUUUUUAAGUUAAAAAGCUUAAAUUUAAUUAGGGGACGAGAAGACCCUAUAGAUUUUUAUAAUAUAUAUUUAUUGUUUAUUUGAGUUUAUUUAUUUAAAUAAAUAUAUAUUAUUUUGUUGGGGUGACAGUAAAAUUAAUUUAACUUUUAUAUUUAUUAAAUCAUUGAUUUAUGAAUUUAUAUUAAAUUAUAUAUAUAUAUAUAUAUAUAUAUAUAUAUAUAUAUAUAAUUUAAUAUUUUUGAUCCUGAAAUUUAGAUUAUUAAAUUAAAAUACCUUAGGGAUAACAGCGUUAUUUAUUUGGAGAGAUCACAUUAAUAAAUAAGUUUGCGACCUCGAUGUUGAAUUAAGAUAAUGUUUAGGUGUAGAUACUUAAAUAAUAGGUCUGUUCGACCUUUAAAUUCUUACAUGAUUUGAGUUCAGAUCGGCGUGAGCCAGAUCGGAUUCUAUCCUUAAUUAUUAUUAAAUAUUUUUGUACGAAAGGACUUUAUAUUUUAAAUAAUUUAUAUUUUAAAUUGGAAUUAAAUUAAUUUUAUUUGUUGUUG
Molecule: ribosomal RNA, 1619 nt
Filed under: Janus compressus
Lineage: Eukaryota; Metazoa; Arthropoda; Insecta; Hymenoptera; Cephidae
Description: 16S ribosomal RNA
Source: RNAcentral